AUAUUGGACAAUGGGGGGAACCCUGAUCCAGCCAUGCCGCGUGUGUGAAGAAGGCCUUUUGGUUGUAAAGCACUUUAAGCGAGGAGGAGGCUCUUCUAGUUAAUACCUAGGAUGAGUGGACGUUACUCGCAGAAUAAGCACCGGCUAACUCUGUGCCAGCAGCCGCGGUAAUACAGAGGGUGCGAGCGUUAAUCGGAUUUACUGGGCGUAAAGCGUACGUAGGCGGCUUUUUAAGUCGGAUGUGAAAUCCCUGAGCUUAACUUGGGAAUUGCAUUCGAUACUGGUUGGCUAGAGUGUGGGAGAGGAUGGUAGAAUUCCAGGUGUAGCGGUGAAAUGCGUAGAGAUCUGGAGGAAUACCGAUGGCGAAGGCGGCCAUCUGGCCUAACACUGACGCUGAGGUGCGAAAGCAUGGGGAGCAAAC
Molecule: ribosomal RNA, 421 nt
Filed under: uncultured bacterium
Lineage: Bacteria
Description: bacterial SSU rRNA
Rfam family: Bacterial small subunit ribosomal RNA
Source: RNAcentral